GAAAAGGAUAUAGAAGUAGACUUAAUAGAGUUUCUUUAAAGAUUAAUUUUGGAUGAUUUGAGUGUGUAUUAACUUUGUAAGAGCUUUGCAAAAUAAGAGUUUGUUUUAUGUGACUCUAGAUUCAUGAAAUAAAAUAGAUGAUAUAUUUUGGAAAUUUUUCUAAAUUUGGUAGUAGAUCUAAGGGUGAAUUUUUUGUGUUUGUGGAUAUAGUUAUGUUUGAUGUGUAAUGUGAAUUUGGAUUUGAUUGAAUGGUUAGAUUGAGAAGUAUAAAGGUUUUUAUAGAUUAUAAUCUUAGAAUUUAGGGUUUUGAUGACCAGUGAGGUUUUCUUAGAUAAUGUCACGGCCAUAAUCAUGUAAGCUAAUAAUUACAUAUAGAAAUAGAUAGAAGUAAAUAAAAGUAGGUAAAAGAAAGUUAAUUCUAUAAUAUUUAAUAUGGAAGCUUUCUAGAAACUUCUUAGACAUUGCUUUGACUUCAUAGGUGUCUUUAAUUGACUUUUUGGAUUAGAAACAUGGUCAACAAGUUGGCCAUGUGCCACACAUGUUGUUAGCUUGAAGAUCGAGCUAACUAUGUGGCCCACACGUAAAAAAACUUACCUUGUAAGUCAAGGCAUGUGCCCUACAAAGUCAACACAUAUUGGAGGUCCUAUAGAACGUCGCCACGUAGCUCUUAGUAAGAUAGUAUAUAUAGAGACAAGAAUGAAGGCUUCUUCACUCUUGUCAACUCCUUUCUUGCUUCUAGUCUAGUUUCAAGGGUCUCUAGUUUUCUUGUCUUUUGGCAAUAGCCAUUCCAAUUCCUCUUUCAAUAUAUAUACUUAUUUAUAUAUAUUUUGUUACCUUUCUUCGAGUGAAGGCUCACUUGUCUGAAUUAUUUUUUUCAUCGAGUUCUUGUCGUUGAUAGAUUGACAAGAGUACACCUACAAUAUCAGAGCUUUGUCUAAUCUUGAUUAAGAGUGGAUUACCCCUUUUUUUUGAUAAGAUAUAAGCGUAUUAGAAGUUGUGGAUCACCCUCUUCUAAACUGAUAUUGUCCUUAAUAUUUUCUUUGUCCGCAAGUCCUCUUUUCUAGUUGUCUUGAGCGAUAUUAGACAUCUUCUCUCUUCCAAGUAUUAUCAUGGCAGAACUUCUUGAAAUGAAGAGUGCAAUGGCACAAAUGCAAGAGUAAUUGAGGGAGUUAAUGCUUCCAAUGCAUCAACUCAAUUUACCACCACAAGGAGCAACAAGAUUGAUAGGAAGUGAAGAUAUAGAAAUGGUUGGAGCUGCUUCAACAUCUGCACCAAACCAUGUCCUUUCUCCUAUGGUGGAAUGCCCUUCAAAUGUUAAAGAACCAAGAAUUGCCUUACUUGAGAAGUUUGAUGGCACCAAAUCUAAGUUUCAAGGAUUUAUCAAUCAAGUGCAACUUGUGAUUGAACUUCAAUCCCAAAGCUAUCCAACUCCAGGAUCACAAGUUAGAUUCAUUGGUACGCUUCUUUCAGGUUCGGUACUAUCGUGGUUUUCAUCUUUUCUUGAAUGACGAGAUCCAAUAUUGGAUAAUCUAGAGGCUUUUUUGGUGGAGUUUUGAUCCAUGUAUGGAGAACAUGAUGCAAUUCGUGUUGCAACCAAUAAGAUCCAUAUUUUAAGACAAGGCAAUCGAUCAGUAACGUUAUAUGCUUCACAAUUUCGACAACUUGUAACUGAUAUCAAGUGGGAUGAUGCUGCACUUAUUAGCCAAUUUCUCUACGGAUUACAAUAUGAGGUAAAAAAAUUAAUGCUCAACUUACCCGAUCCUCAAACAUUGAGUCAAGCAAUUGACUUUGCUGUGAAGUGCGACAAUCGCCUUUUUGAAUUCCGAUCUGAGAACCGUACAAGUAGACCUCAACGUUACUAUAAUUCAAUGGCAAUACCAACACCUCUUCAACACAUACAUUCCAAAGUAGAGGAUAUGCAAAUUGAUGUAGUACAUUUCAAACCUCUUACUCAGCAAAAAAAGACUCGUCGUCGUCAAGAAGGAUUAUCUUUAUAUUGUGGAGAAUCAAAGCACACUGCUCAACAUUGUCCAAAGACACGACACAAUCACAAAAUGAGGAAUAUGGCUGUGAAAGAAGAUAAUAUGUCAAAAAACGAGUUUAUCCAGCUACAAUAGGGACCGUGCGGCUGGAACCUUGCACAACAUCUAGUAAAGGUCCUAUUCUUUCCUCAGAGCCCUCUCCUUGUUUUACAUUAAAUGUUAUUUUAGGACCUAAACAUUAUAAAGUCUCUGCCUAGUUAGAUUCAGGAACCUCAGCGUAUUUUUUAGAUGAAGAAUUUACUAAAAGAUAUAGCAUAUCUUUAGUAAAGAAAACUAAACCUGUUCAUGUAGAAGUCAUAGAUGGUCGUCCAUUGUCUUCUGGAGAUAUUACUCACAAAACCCUUCCUAUAGAAGUAAUAAUCAAUGGUCAUAAUAGUUUUGUAGUAUUUAAUAUCAUUAGAUCUCCCUCUAAUCCAGUCAUUUUAGGUUUAUCGUGGUUAGAAAAAUACAACCCUCAAAUAGAUUGGAUUUCCCGAACUCUUGCUUUCUCUAAAAGUAUAACUAAUAGUGUAGUUAAUCAAGUAGAGAGUCAAAAGUCCAGUUCAAUUAAACCCGUAUUUAUAGGUGCAAAAGCUUUCUUGUAUGCUGCUAUGAAAGAAUCACCAUACAUUGUUUAUGCUACACUCGUUUCUACUGGUGAGAAGACUUCAAGUGGCAUUCCAAGCCAAUAUUAAGAAUUUCAAGAUGUAUUUGAAAAAAAGAAUGCGGAUACACUCCUGGAACAUCGUCCCUAUGAUUGUUCAAUUGACCUUCAAGAAAGAGCACAACCGCCAUUCGGACCAAUCUAUAGUUUAUCACAGAAUGAGUUGGCUGAACUCAAGGAAUAUAUUGAAGAAAAUCUAGCCAAGAAUUUCAUACGCCAUUCUAAAUCUCCGACAGGAGCUCCAAUUCUAUUUGUGAAGAAAAAAGAUGGAUCAUUGCGGAUGUGUGUUGAUUAUCGAGGACUCAACAAGAUUACCAUCAAAAACAGGUAUCCACUACCUUUAAUAUCCGGACUUCUUGAUCAGCUCAAUCAAGGUAAGAUCUAUACAAAAAUAGAUCUUCGGGGAGCAUACAAUCUAGUACGCAUCAAAGAAGGAGAUGAAUGGAAGACUGCAUUUCGAACUAGGUAUGGACAUUUUGAAUACAACGUCAUGCCUUUUGGACUUACAAAUGCACCAGCAGCUUUUCAACAUCUAAUGAAUGAUGUUUUUUGAGAGUUUUUGGACGAUUUUGUGGUCUGUUAUUUAGACGACAUCUUGAUCUAUUCUAAUAAUUCAAAAGAACAUGAACUUCAUGUUCGUCGUGUAUUACAAAAAUUAAGAGAUGCAAGACUCUAUGCUAAGAUAGAAAAGUGUGAAUUCCACACUCCUCAAGUCGAUUUCUUAGGUUACAUCAUUUCAAAUGAUGGACUUAUGAUGGAUCCUAAGAAAGUUCAAACUAUUAUAGACUGGAAGAUUCCAAAAACGGUAAGAGAUGUCCAAUGUUUUUUGGAAUUUGCCAACUACUAUCGGAUCUUCAUCAAAGACUUCUCUCGAGUUGCAGCUCCACUUUAACGUUUGACUUGUAAAGACAAACUCCAAUGGAAUCAAGAAGCGAAAGUUGCUUUUGAAUCUUUGAAGACAGCGUUUGUUUUUGCACCAAUCUUGUAUCGUGUUGAUUUUUCCAAAGCAUUUUUUAUGGAAACAGAUGCAUCGGACUUUGCUCUGGGUGCGGUUUUAUCACAAAUGGGAACAGAUGACAAACUUCAUCCAGUAGCCUUUCAUUCAAGAAAAUUCUCAGCAGCAGAAAUCAAUUAUGAGAUCCAUGACAAAGAACUUCUUGCACCAAAAGAAGGAGAUGCAAUUUUUGAGCAACAAAGAACGGUUCUCUUGAAGCCAAAAUAAUUUCAUCUUCGAGCGAUAAAAUCAACAUUGACUAUUGAUUUAACUUUCCUUAAGCAAGUCCAGUUAAGUAUGUCUUCAGACCCUCUUGUUCAUGAUAUCAAGAACAAUUCUUCUAAAUCUCAUGAUCCAUCUAAAUUUGAAUUCAAAAACAACCUACUCUAUUUCGAAGGAUGCCUAUAUGUUCCAAAAAGAGAAGCAUGUUUACGUGUUCUUCAAGCUCGUAACGACUUCUCAGCAGUAAGACAUUUUGGAUAUAAUAAGACUUUAAAGCUGAUAUCUAGAGAUUUUUGGUGGCCUCAAAUGUGGAAGGUAGUUAAAGAUUUUGUACAAUCAUGUGAUGUUUGCUCAAGAUCGAAAACUCCUCGUCAUCGACCUUUUGGACUUCUUCAGCCAUUACCCAUUCCAGAACAACCAUGGUCUUCUGUUUCUAUGGACUUCAUCACGGAUCUUCCAAUCUCAGGUUCUUAUGAUUCUAUAUUUGUGAUAGUAGAUCGUUUUACCAAGAUGGCACAUUUUGUACCAUGUACAAAAUCUAUCACAAGUGAAGAAACAACUAAGCUCUUUCUUGACAAUAUCUAUCGCUAUCAUGGAUUAUCCAAGGAUAUUAUAUCAGAUAGGAGAACUCAAUUUGUAUCAAGAUUUUGGCGGACUCUUUUCAAGAUUCUUAAAGUGGAUAUAAAACUAUCUUCGGCAUUCCAUCCUCAAACUGAUAGAUAAACGGAGCAUGUUAAUCAAGUUUUGGAGCAAUAUUUAAGAUGUACCAUUAAUUACCAACAAGAUGAUUGGACAACUCUUUUGCCAUUGGCAGAGUUUGCUUACAAUAACACGAUACACUCUUCUACAAAACAAACACCUUUCUUUGUUAAUUAUGGUUAUCAUCCACGACUUGAUACUUUUGACUUUUCAAAAGUUGAUAAUCCUGUUACGAAAGAUUUGGCAAUUCAUUUAUCAGAGCUACAUGCAACGAUGAAGGCGCAGUUAAAAGACGCUCAAGAACAACAAAAGGCUAAUGCAAAUGUCUAUCGAAAGGAACAACCAUCAUUCGUCUUGGGUGAUAAGGUAUGGCUACUUCGUCGCAAUAUCAAGACCACUCGUCCUUGUGACAAAUUGGACUAUCGAAGGCUAGGACCAUUUUCUAUUUCUGCACAAAUCAAUCCAGUUGCAUAUCGUUUAGAUCUACCAGAGUCAAUGAAAAUCCAUCCAGUAUUCCACGUGUCUCUUUUUGAACCAUACAAGACAGUGGACAUACCAAGAAGACAACAAGCUCCACCUCAUCCUAUAGAAGAGGACAAUAAUAAAGAGUUUGAAGUAGAAGAAAUCUUAGAUUCAAGGCGGCGUCGAAAUAAAUUAGAAUAUCUUGUCCAUUGGCGCGGAUAUGGUAUUAGUGAACGCACAUGGGAGCCAUUAAAGAAUCUUGCAAAUGCAGCAAAGGCGAUGGAGGCUUUUCAUCAACGACAUCCAUCAAAAUCAAGAUAUAAAAGAAACAACAUCUUUAUAAAAGAAACAACAUCUAGGCAAGAUAACAUUCUACUUUCAAUUCUUAUUCGUAGCUUCAUUGUAGUAGUGGCGCUCAGGAGAUGGAGAACCAACAACCAGUGGAUUCAACUCAAGAGCCUUCAUUUGCUGACCUACCGGACGAGACAUUACAAUUGUCACAACCUUCAAGACGACACAAUCGAGAUGAAGAUCUUCAAGAACGAAAUAUUCUUCCUCGAAUAUAUGGUGACAUACAACGUAUUUGGUAUCACGAUUUGGGAAGGGACUCUCGAUGUUUGGUGAUUUUGCUAGAGGUAGGAACAACUCCUGAUGGUGUUCCAAAUAUUCUAUUCGAAAGAAGUUACGAAGGCCUCAACAAUGAUCAAAUAAUUGGGUGGUCUUCCCGCCCUGGUAUGGGACACUACCGAUGGUUGAGAGGCCCUAUCAAUCAUCUUCGAAGAGAACAGAGAUCAGAGAUGUGGCGAAUACAAUUCGUCGCAUCAUAGAUUUCUUCAACAUAUGAUGACCACUCCUCGUGGAACUCGUCCCUAGAAGGGGGGGUAAUGUCACGGCCAUAAUCAUAUAAGCUAAUAAUUACAUAUAGAAAUAGAUAGAAGUAAGUAAAAGUAGGUAAAAGAAAGUUAAUUCUAUAAUAUUUAAUAU
Molecule: long non-coding RNA, 6046 nt
Filed under: Physcomitrium patens
Lineage: Eukaryota; Viridiplantae; Streptophyta; Bryopsida; Funariales; Funariaceae
Description: long non-coding RNA (PPAT_LNC005846)
Source: RNAcentral